This 1070-nucleotide ribosomal RNA is filed under the name Clostridioides difficile. Its description in RNAcentral is "partial 23S ribosomal RNA". It matches the Rfam family "Bacterial large subunit ribosomal RNA", at positions 459 to 1536 of the family's 2925-position model. Lineage: Bacteria; Bacillati; Bacillota; Clostridia; Peptostreptococcales; Peptostreptococcaceae. The record is from RNAcentral.
UCCAAGGCUAAAUACUACCUAGUGACCGAUAGCGUAUAGUACCGUGAGGGAAAGGUGAAAAGAACCCCGGGAGGGGAGUGAAAUAGAACCUGAAACCCUGCACUUACAAGCUGUGGAAGCACAUUUCUUGUGUGACCGCGUACUUUUUGUAGAACGGGCCAACGAGUUACGUUAAGUAGCAAGGUUAAGCACUUAAGGUGCGGAGCCGUAGCGAAAGCGAGUUUUAACUGAGCGUUCAGUUACUUGACGUAGACCCGAAACCGGGCGACCUACCCAUGAGCAGGAUGAAGCGAAAGUAAAAUUUCGUGGAGGUCCGAACCCACGAGCGUUGAAAAGCUCGGGGAUGACUUGUGGGUAGCGGUGAAAUUCCAAUCGAGCCCGGAGAUAGCUGGUUCUCCCCGAAAUAGCUUUAGGGCUAGCCUCAAGGUGAGAGAUACGGAGGUAGAGCACUGAAUGUCCUAGGGGGUAUUGCACCUACCGAAGACUAUCAAACUCCGAAUGCCGUCAUCUUAUACUUGGGAGUCAGACUGUGGGUGAUAAGAUUCAUAGUCGAAAGGGCAACAGCCCAGAUCGUCAGCUAAGGUCCCUAAAUGUAAGUUAAGUGGUAAAGGAUGUGGGAUUGCACAGACAACCAGGAUGUUGGCUUAGAAGCAGCCACUCAUUCAAAGAGUGCGUAAUAGCUCACUGGUCGAGUGAUCCUGCGCCGAAGAUUUCCGGGGCUAAAACUUACUACCGAAGCUACGGCAUCAGUAAUGAUGGGUAGGGGAGCUUCCCAUACGGGUUGAAGCAUGACCGUAAGGACAUGUGGACAGUAUGGGAGUGAGAAUGUUGGCAUGAGUAGCGAGAUGUGGGUGAGAAUCCCACAGGCCGUAAACCCAAGGUUUCCAGGGGAAGGUUCGUCCGCCCUGGGUUAGUCGGGACCUAAGCUGAGGCCGAAAGGCGUAGGUGAUGGACAACAGGUUGAUAUUCCUGUACUACCGAUAACCGUUUGAGAGAUGGGAUGACACAGUAGGAUAAGCUAAGCACACUGUUGGUUAUGUGUGCCCAAGCAUUGAGGCAGUCAAAGUAGG